AACACUGCUUGUCGUCCGAUCCCCGAAGUUAAGUAACACUGAAACUGGUCAGUACCAAGAUGGGUGACCGCCGGGGAAUACCAGGUGCUGUAA
Molecule: non-coding RNA, 93 nt
Organism: Acanthosepion pharaonis
Lineage: Eukaryota; Metazoa; Mollusca; Cephalopoda; Sepiida; Sepiidae
Source: the annotation of a GenBank genome assembly